This is a non-coding RNA of Paramuricea clavata, 683 nucleotides long. The record is from the annotation of a GenBank genome assembly. Lineage: Eukaryota; Metazoa; Cnidaria; Anthozoa; Malacalcyonacea; Plexauridae.
AGAGAAGUUUUGUAAUCACGAAGUCAAUGUAAGUGAUAAAGAUGGGAAUGUCCUGUGGUGUAUUGAUUUGAAUGAAAUACUCUGCAUGUGUAAGUGUCGACACUACCAUAAACUAGCUUGGUUUAGACUGGGUAACUCUAAUUCUAGCUGUGCUACACAUAGAGGUCCGGUAGUAAUCAUCCCUUAUUGAUCCAGUGGAGAAAGCCAGAAUACCUGGAGAAAACCGGCGGUGUUUGGUCGAGUCCGCUCUGUAUAUAACUAGUCACAAUUACUCUUAAUUAAAGGAUGAAGAAAUUUUUUAUUUAAGGAUGAGGUCCUGAGCCUGUUGGACAACCUGUUAAUAUGAGCAAGCCAAAGUUGAAGAUUUGAUACGAGCUUUAGAACAUGCAUGAUGUUACAAUAAAACGCGCAUAUAAGAACCUAGAUUUUCCAAGUUAGCCUAAACAGGUUCUUGUGUAAAUGGUGCUUACCAGGAAAUUAGGCUAAACAGAUUCUUAAAUAGGUUGUUAUUUUAUAAAUGUAUAAAACAGCUGGUUCUGAUAAUAAUAGCCAUGAAUGUAAUAAAAAAAUCAUUUGAAUUUAUAGCUCAACCUCUUACCCAAAUUAUCAAUCUUUCGCUUUCAAUUGGCAUUCACCCUGAUUUACUAAAAAUAGCCAAGGUAAUGCCUGUAUUUAAAACCGAU